AACGAACGCUGGCGGCGUGCCUAACACAUGCAAGUCGAGCGCGAAAAGGGCAACCUGAGUAGAGCGGCGCACGGGUGCGUAACACGUGGGUAAUCUGCCUUAGAGUCGAGGAUAACCUUCCGAAAGGUUGGCUAAUACUCGGUAAGCUUACGGUGUCUUCGGACGCUGUGGGAAAAGUAGGCCUCUGUUUACAAGCUUACGCUCUGAGAUGAGCCCGCGGCCCAUCAGCUAGUUGGCGGUGUAACGGACCACCAAGGCAACGACGGGUAGCUGGUCUGAGAGGACGAUCGGUCACACUGGAACUGGGACACGGUCCAGACUCCUACGGGAGGCAGCAGUGGGGAAUUUUCCACAAUGGGCGAAAGCCUGAUGGAGCAACGCCGCGUGUGUGAUGAAGGUUUUCGGAUCGUAAAGCACUUUCGACCGGGACGAAAAACCUCUGGCUAACAUCCAGGGGCCUGACGGUACCGGGAGAAGAAGCACCGGCUAACUCUGUGCCAGCCGCCGCCGUAA
RNAcentral lists this ribosomal RNA (513 nucleotides) under uncultured bacterium. RNAcentral's name for it is "partial 16S ribosomal RNA". It matches the Rfam family "Bacterial small subunit ribosomal RNA", at positions 29 to 523 of the family's 1533-position model. The record is from RNAcentral.